UCACAAUACUUUAUUGAUCCCAUCAGUGAAAUUAUUUAGUUGCAGUUGCUCACAGUCAAAUUCAAGGUAAAAUAAGAGUAUCAAAAGAGAGA
Long non-coding RNA from Etheostoma cragini (Arkansas darter), 92 nucleotides. RefSeq lists it as uncharacterized. The record is from RefSeq and is a predicted model, not a curated record. NCBI's taxonomy places the organism in Eukaryota, Metazoa, Chordata, Actinopteri, Perciformes, Percidae. The transcript has 3 exons.